This 252-nucleotide ribosomal RNA is filed under the name uncultured bacterium. Its description in RNAcentral is "partial 16S ribosomal RNA". It matches the Rfam family "Bacterial small subunit ribosomal RNA", at positions 525 to 776 of the family's 1533-position model. The record is from RNAcentral.
ACGAGGGGUGCAAGCGUUGUUCGGAAUCACUGGGCGUAAAGGGUCCGUAGGCGGAUACACAAGUCAGAUGUUUAAUUUCGAGGCCUAACUUCGAGCUUGCAUUUGAAACUGUGUAUCUUGAAUAGAUCAGAGGUUGAUGGAAUACUUGGUGUAGCGGUGGAAUGCGUAGAUAUCAAGUAGAACACCAAUGGCGAAGGCAGUCAACUGGGAUCAUAUUGACGCUGAGGGACGAAAGCGUGGGUAGCAAACAGG